This 404-nucleotide ribosomal RNA is filed under the name Actinomycetes bacterium. RNAcentral's name for it is "Actinobacteria bacterium partial 16S ribosomal RNA". It matches the Rfam family "Bacterial small subunit ribosomal RNA", at positions 355 to 776 of the family's 1533-position model. The record is from RNAcentral. Lineage: Bacteria; Bacillati; Actinomycetota; Actinomycetes.
UGGGGAAUAUUGGACAAUGGGCGCAAGCCUGAUCCAGCCAUGCCGCGUGAGUGAUGAAGGCCCUAGGGUUGUAAAGCUCUUUCACCGGUGAAGAUAAUGACGGUAACCGGGGAAGAAGCCCCGGCUAACUUCGUGCCAGCAGCCGCGGUAAUACGAAGGGGGCUAGCGUUGUUCGGAUUUACUGGGCGUAAAGCGCACGUAGGCGGACUUUUAAGUCAGGGGUGAAAUCCCGGGGCUCAACCCCGGAACUGCCUUUGAUACUGGAAGUCUUGAGUAUGGUAGAGGUGGGUGGAAUUCCGAGUGUAGAGGUGAAAUUCGUAGAUAUUCGGAGGAACUCCAGUGGCGAAGGCGGCUCACUGGACCUUUACUGACGCUGAGGUGCGAAAGCGUGGGGAGCAAACAGG